This 79-nucleotide transfer RNA is filed under the name Streptococcus suis JS14. RNAcentral's name for it is "tRNA-Val". It matches the Rfam family "tRNA". Rfam says of the family: Transfer RNA (tRNA) molecules are approximately 80 nucleotides in length. Their secondary structure includes four short double-helical elements and three loops (D, anti-codon, and T loops). Further hydrogen bonds mediate the characteristic L-shaped molecular structure. tRNAs have two regions of fundamental functional importance: the anti-codon, which is responsible for specific mRNA codon recognition, and the 3' end, to which the tRNAs corresponding amino acid is attached (by aminoacyl-tRNA synthetases). tRNAs cope with the degeneracy of the genetic code in two manners: having more than one tRNA (with a specific anti-codon) for a particular amino acid; and 'wobble' base-pairing, i.e. permitting non-standard base-pairing at the 3rd anti-codon position. Lineage: Bacteria; Bacillati; Bacillota; Bacilli; Lactobacillales; Streptococcaceae. The record is from RNAcentral.
GGGAGUUUAGCUCAGCUGGGAGAGCAUCUGCCUUACAAGCAGAGGGUCAGCGGUUCGAUCCCGUUAACUUAUUCCGCCA